GGUGCUAUAGUGUAGCGGUCUUCACUCGGGACUCUGAUUCUGUGCUUGUAUUUGGACGAUUCCCGAAACCCAGGUUCGAAUCCUCGAGUAGAGUUUCU
Non-coding RNA from Paramarasmius palmivorus, 98 nucleotides. The record is from the annotation of a GenBank genome assembly. Lineage: Eukaryota; Fungi; Basidiomycota; Agaricomycetes; Agaricales; Marasmiaceae.